UUUUUCUCCCUUUUGUUCUACCCAGUUAUGUGGAGGGUUUCUUGCCUUUUUUGGAGGUUUAAGGUCUUCCGGUGUUCAGUAGAUGUUCUGUGUGAAUCGUUCUACAUGUAGAUGUGCUUUUUUUUUUUUUUUUUUUUGAUGUGUUUGUGGGAGAAAGUGAGCAAGACCUCUUACUCCUCUGCUAUCUUGAUCCUUCUAUCAAAUUUUAUUUUCUUAAAAGGAUUGUCAAAGAAAACAACACAGGAUUCCAGGCAGACCUUCAACUGCUCAUCCACUGACAGGUGCCCAGGUAUCCCUCCCGCCACUUCCCUGUCCACGCCCCAUCCAGAUCCUGCAGCGGGGUGACCACAGCCACCUUUGCAGAGGAGGGCGAGCUGCGCAUGUAAGCGCAUGUACGGUGGCAAGGACCGCCGCUCCCUCCUGCUGCGUGGCGUUCUGGCACGCCAGCUCCUAGAGUGCAAGGACUCCUGAGACCUGGAGGACGCCAAGGUUGUAUGCUGCCACCUGGGCAAUAGCCAGGCUGUGGGCACCCUGGUGGGGGCCACCUUUGGGCCAGGCUCUGGACCCAUGUGGCUGGAGGAGGUGGGGUGGCGGGGCAGCGAGUCACCCUUUGGAGCUGCCCCGCGGAGCCAUUUGGUCACGGAGACUGCCGGCACAAGCACAUGGAGGGCACUGCUCAGGUCCUUCUGUGGCCCUUUGACCUGCCCGCCAGGCUGAGACUCUGCCCAUGACUCUCAGUGUGGUCCUUGGCACCCUCCUGGUUGUCAUCUCACUGGUCCUGGGAGCACGGUGGUUCCAGGGCAGAGGAGCCUUCAGGGGUUCCGGAACGUUGGGGAGUCUGCCCUCGGAAGGCGUUUAUGAGGUCUUUGGAGCUGUCCCCAUGGGGGUAAAGGACGAUGGGCUCAGAGUGUCCAGGGUCCUGGAGCUGGAGGAGGAGUAUGAUGACGCAGAGGAGCCCCUGCUCAGCCCUGAGGAGAGGGAAGCGGAGGAGGGGGCCCCCCUGACCAACGCAGGUGUGCACCUCUGCGCCUUGGCAUCCCUGGUGCUUUUCCUGCUGUACUGCUCCUACGCCCAAGGCUUUUCUCUGGCCAGCCCCUACAUCUAAAGAUCCUCAAAGUGCCUCUCUGUGUGUUUGUGACUCUCACUUCCAUCAUAGGCUUGGUGUUCAGAGUUUAGGGAGGUCCUAGAUUUUUAUGUGGGUUUCUUUCUGUGGUUGCGCUUGUCCCUCCAGUGCCAUGUCCAGCGGCUGCAGGGGCCUGAGCAGACAGGUGGGCAGAGAUGUGCACGCAGCAGCACACUGUCGGCUCGCUCCAUCCAGUCCUUGACCAAGCCUCCAGCCUCACCGUGCGGCAAGAAGCCAGGGCCCAGAAUUCCUGAGGAAUUGCUGAGGGUCCCCAAUGUGUGUCUCUGUCCUUAAACAGAGGUGGGGCUCCUCACAGCUCAGGCUGGGAAGGACGAACAGGGCAGCCUCUGCCCCAGGACAUGCUGACCAUGAGCCAACCACAGGGACCUCCGCAAGACCAGAGGGUGGGGCUUUCAUUUUCCUCAAUUCUUCAAGAGAUUUAUUGUAUCA
This 1573-nucleotide long non-coding RNA is filed under the name Sus scrofa (pig). RNAcentral's name for it is "lncRNA (ENSSSCG00025020457.1)". Lineage: Eukaryota; Metazoa; Chordata; Mammalia; Artiodactyla; Suidae. The record is from RNAcentral.